UUGGCCCUCCUUUUUAGCUAGCUGAUUGUUUUUCUCAUUCAGCUGACGCUGAUUCUCCAGUAGUUGCUUAUUUUUAUCCUUUAUUGAGUCCAUUUUUUCUUAGAGCUAUUUCUUCAGCCCCUUCACUACUUCCUUUUCUUUGGCAACCUUCUUUUCUACUAUCUUCUUGGCCUCUGUAGGAGUUGGUGUGGUGCUCCCAAGCUUUGAGAGGUUAGGAGAGGAGCCAUGGGUUUGACUCUUGGAUUCUAGGGUAGGUUUAGGUCCUAGGGCUAGGACGGAUUUGGUCCUAAGAUGGAGGUUCAGCCUCCAUGGUCUUGAGGCCCGAGAUUAGGGGCCUUGAGGGCUUGAGGCCCAGGAGAAUUGGGUCUCGAGGGAGCUAACUUAGUUAUGGAUCGAGUUUUGGGGUCAUGGGGGUGAGAGCACAUCAUGU
This 430-nucleotide long non-coding RNA is filed under the name Elaeis guineensis (African oil palm). RNAcentral describes it as "long non-coding RNA (EGUI_LNC042329)". The record is from RNAcentral. Lineage: Eukaryota; Viridiplantae; Streptophyta; Magnoliopsida; Arecales; Arecaceae.